AUACUUACCUGGCAAGGGAGACACCGUGAUCAAGAAGGCGGUUCACCCAGGGUGAGGCUCAGCCAUUGCACUCCGGCUGUGCUGACCCCUGCGAAUUUCCCAAAUGUGGAAAUCUCGAUUGCAUAAUUUCUGGUAGUCGGGGACUGCGUUCGCGCUCUCCCCUG
This 164-nucleotide small nuclear RNA is filed under the name Salmo trutta (river trout). RNAcentral's name for it is "U1 spliceosomal RNA (ENSSTUG00000021782.1)". It matches the Rfam family "U1 spliceosomal RNA". Rfam says of the family: U1 is a small nuclear RNA (snRNA) component of the spliceosome (involved in pre-mRNA splicing). Its 5' end forms complementary base pairs with the 5' splice junction, thus defining the 5' donor site of an intron. Lineage: Eukaryota; Metazoa; Chordata; Actinopteri; Salmoniformes; Salmonidae. The record is from Rfam by way of RNAcentral.